AUGGAAGGGCCAUCGCUCAACGGAUAAAAGCUACCCCGGGGAUAACAGGCUUAUCUCCCCCAAGAGUUCACAUCGACGGGGAGGUUUGGCACCUCGAUGUCGGCUCAUCGCAUCCUGGGGCUGUAGUCGGUCCCAAGGGUUGGGCUGUUCGCCCAUUAAAGCGGUACGCGAGCUGGGUUCAGAACGUCGUGAGACAGUUCGGUCCCUAUCCGUCGUGGGCGUAGGAAAUUUGAGAGGAGCUGUCCUUAGUACGAGAGGACCGGGAUGGACAUACCUCUGGUGUACCAGUUGUCGUGCCAACGGCAUAGCUGGGUAGCUAUGUAUGGACGGGAUAAGUGCUGAAAGCAUCUAAGCAUGAAGCCCCCCUCAAGAUGAGAUUUCCCAACUUCGGUUAUAAGAUCCCUCAGAGAUGAUGAGGUUAAUAGGUUCGAGGUGGAAGCGUGGUGACACGUGGAGCUGACGAAUACUAAUCGAUCGAAGACUUAAUCAA
RNAcentral lists this ribosomal RNA (490 nucleotides) under Staphylococcus hominis. RNAcentral's name for it is "partial 23S ribosomal RNA". It matches the Rfam family "Bacterial large subunit ribosomal RNA", at positions 2433 to 2925 of the family's 2925-position model. Lineage: Bacteria; Bacillati; Bacillota; Bacilli; Caryophanales; Staphylococcaceae. The record is from RNAcentral.